RNAcentral lists this ribosomal RNA (316 nucleotides) under Pseudotocepheus punctatus. RNAcentral describes it as "eukaryotic LSU rRNA". It matches the Rfam family "Eukaryotic large subunit ribosomal RNA", at positions 666 to 944 of the family's 3401-position model. Lineage: Eukaryota; Metazoa; Arthropoda; Arachnida; Sarcoptiformes; Otocepheidae. The record is from RNAcentral.
CCAAGGAGUCUAACAUGUGCGCGAGUCGCUCGGUCUUGAAUAGGCCAGAGAGGCGCAAUGAAAGUAAAGUUGAUUGAGUUACGAUCCUCAUGCAGUUAUCGCUCUGUCGGUAACGGUGAGGCGCAGUAACAGCCCGCUAAUUUCGCUUAUUGACGAUCUGGCGGAGUUGUAGCGUACACGUUGGUACCCGAAAGAUGGUGAACUAUGCCUGGGCAAGACGAAGCCAGAGGAAACUCUGGUGGAGGUCUGUAGCGGUUCUGACGUGCAAAUCGAUCGUCAGACCUGGGUAUAGGGGCGAAAGACUAAUCGAACCAUC